CAGAUUCUGUGCUGCUUUAGUGUUCUUUAAAGGUUUAAGAAGAAAAGCGGCAGCUUCUUGAAAGGAAUAAGCCACAAAACAGGGGAUGUUCACCCAGAAGGAAAUGAAAGAGAGCUGCAGCAGAAUCAUCUGUCCUACAAAGGUGUCCCAGACUGCAAGGCAGGAUGGAUCCAUUUCCCAUUUCUACGGCAGUUGUCUUCUGUUGAGUGAGCAGUUUUCCUUCUCUCCUCCACAGCCAGUCCUCUCUCAGGGCAGAGAUCUGCUGAUAAUGGGCUACUGAAUGUCACUGUGUGACUGAUAAGAGCUGUAACAUCCCACUUCGAGAUGGGAGCCCAGAGGGAGGAGCCAAGCAUUCCUACCUGGAUAUAAUCUGGGUUUUUGGGGCACCAGCACGGCUUUUUCUCCACUGGAUUUUCCAGAGGAACAGCUGCCUCUUCCACUGCCUCUUCAGAGGAAGACUGCACCUUUUUCUAGGAUCACUGCUCCAACAGAACCACACCUGCCACUCCAGGAGGACUACAGCCAUAAUUCCCAGUUGGAUUGCCUCCAGCACCCUGACCAACAGGGUGUCAGGUUGUAUUCUGACUCUGUCAGUGUUGGUUUGGUUCACUGCAUUAUUUAUUUUAUCUUUUUAUUUUCUUCCCUAAUAAAGAACUGUUAUUUGCUCCCAUAUGUAUAGAACUA
Lonchura striata (white-rumped munia) is the source of this 684-nucleotide non-coding RNA. Lineage: Eukaryota; Metazoa; Chordata; Aves; Passeriformes; Estrildidae. The record is from RefSeq and is a predicted model, not a curated record.